UGCAUUCUAACAAUAAUAAUUUACCAAUAUUCUUUCAAGGAUAGUUCAUUUGUUUAUCAUGACAGUAUUUUUACUAGUUCACCAUUAUCUCAACUAGCAAAAUUUACAUGUUAACAAUCAACUUGUUCCCCUUUCCAAUUGAGGGUAAAGGCCCACAAAAAAAUCUCUUUGAUUGAUGGAAGGGUUGCUCGGAUUUAUGAACCUGUGAAACAAAAAAUACAAGAAAUCAAGUUACAAUACCAUACGGCAGACUUUUUCCCCUUAUAUAUGCACUGCUAUUUCAGUAAUCUCUUUGGGAGAAAUUUAGUCGCUGGGCGAUGCUUUUCAGCCGUCAAGUCAAAUGAAGAGCAUUGGUGCGAAAACAAUCAGACAUCAGUGAACUGUACCCGACAACACCAUUUGCUAUGUUUAGGUGAUGCUUGGCUGACUGACAGUUGAAUCUUCUUUGUAGCCUGGUAAAACUAAACACAUGAAUCGUUUUUCAUUUAAAAAAUGGAAGCAUAACAUUUCUCUCUCAUAUUUACUUCGAGAUGAUCGUAUCGAAGUCAUCCUAGCUGACAACUUCUGGCAUCAUACCCGGUUAACAGAAGAUCAGCCAACUGCUAUCACACAAAAUGGUCAGAAAUAAAAGAAGUCAUCCAGGUGAUCUAUUCAUAAGGAAAAUAAUAUUAAGAAUAAUCUCGCGAUUCUAAGAAGAAAAAUACUCGCGAAGAGAGCAGAAGAUUAAAUCGUAAUGAAACAUAUCGUGAACGUAAUUUUAUGACAGGCCUCAGAUUAGCAUUAUGGCACAUUCAUCUUCACCAAAAGCAACCUCAGGUAAAUUAACCCGAUGCGCAAAAAAUUGCUCCGGCUCAUGCCACUCGCUAUCAUCAACGCCACAGAUUCACGUGUUGAAAAAAAACACGUCUGUCCUUCAAAGUGAUAGAAGAAACAAGACAGGGAGAUUAAAGCCGAAUAAACCAGAGAAGACCCUACGACAAAACUGUACACGGCAACACCGAUCUCACCUGCGAACACGGCCCUCUUCGGAGGGAUAGAAACGCAGGCACCGGGGAAGACAGGGAAAUACACAAAAACGUCUAAAUCGGACGAAGAGAACACGGUAACUCUCGAGAAGAUCUCCUGAGAACACCUCCUCGGAUGGAUCGAGAGGGAUCGGGAGCAGGGAUUAGGGUUUCUCAACCUCCGCCGUCCCGAGAAAACCCCAGUCCAGCGUAGCCACCACCCAUCCCUGUCGGGGGAUAGGAGAAGCACCGUAUUAGAAAGAAGGAAAGCUC
Molecule: long non-coding RNA, 1277 nt
Filed under: Spirodela polyrhiza (greater duckweed)
Lineage: Eukaryota; Viridiplantae; Streptophyta; Magnoliopsida; Alismatales; Araceae
Description: long non-coding RNA (SPOL_LNC001475)
Source: RNAcentral